UACAGAGGGGACUAGUGUUAUUCGAAAUGACUGGGCGUAAAGGGCAUGUAGGCUGUUUUUUUUAAGUUUAAAGUAAAAUACCAGAAUAUGUUUUGGGAAAUCUUUUUAGACUAAAAAAACUUGAGUGCGAUAGAAGAUAGUAGAAUUUCCAAGGAAGGGAUAAAAUACGUAAAUCUUGGAAGGAAUGCCAAAGGCGAAAGCAGCUAUCUGGAUCGAAACUGACGCUGAGGUGCGAAAGCAUGGGGAGCAAACGGG
This 255-nucleotide ribosomal RNA is filed under the name uncultured bacterium. RNAcentral's name for it is "partial 16S ribosomal RNA". It matches the Rfam family "Bacterial small subunit ribosomal RNA", at positions 524 to 776 of the family's 1533-position model. The record is from RNAcentral.